UUUUAUUUGAGAGUUUGAUCCUGGCUCAGGAUGAACGCUGGCGGCGUGCCUAACACAUGCAAGUUGAGCGAUUUACUUCGGUAAAGAGCGGCGGACGGGUGAGUAACGCGUGGGUAACCUACCCUGUACACACGGAUAACAUACCGAAAGGUAUGCUAAUACGGGAUAAUAUAUUUGAGAGGCAUCUCUUAAAUAUCAAAGGUGAGCCAGUACAGGAUGGACCCGCGUCUGAUUAGCUAGUUGGUAAGGUAACGGCUUACCAAGGCGACGAUCAGUAGCCGACCUGAGAGGGUGAUCGGCCACAUUGGAACUGAGACACGGUCCAAACUCCUACGGGAGGCAGCAGUGGGGAAUAUUGCACAAUGGGCGAAAGCCUGAUGCAGCAACGCCGCGUGAGUGAUGAAGGCCUUCGGGUCGUAAAACUCUGUCCUC
This 432-nucleotide ribosomal RNA is filed under the name Clostridioides difficile. RNAcentral's name for it is "bacterial SSU rRNA". It matches the Rfam family "Bacterial small subunit ribosomal RNA", at positions 1 to 440 of the family's 1533-position model. Lineage: Bacteria; Bacillati; Bacillota; Clostridia; Peptostreptococcales; Peptostreptococcaceae. The record is from RNAcentral.